CAAUAGCGUAUAUUAAAGUUGUUGCGGUUAAAAAGCUCGUAGUUGGAUCUCGGCAGGCAGGGGGUGGUUCGCUCUUAGCGCUACUGCCCCAUUUGCCUGUGUGAUUGGCGGAGGUUUCGGGGUGCUCUUCGUUGAGUGACCCGGGGCGCCGUCAGGUUUGCUUUGAAAAAAUUAGAGUGCUCAAAGCAGGCUUUUCACGCUUGAAUAUUCGUGCAUGGAAUAAUGGAAUAGGAACUCGUUUCUAUUUUGUUGGUUUUCGGAAAUCGAGUUAAUGAUUAAUAGGGACAAUUGGGGGCAUUAGUAUUCAGACGACAGAGGUGAAAUUCUUGGACCGUCUGAAGACUAACUACUGCGAAAGCAUUUGCCAAGAGUGUUUUCAUUAA
Molecule: ribosomal RNA, 383 nt
Filed under: uncultured eukaryote
Lineage: Eukaryota
Description: partial 18S ribosomal RNA
Rfam family: Eukaryotic small subunit ribosomal RNA
Source: RNAcentral